CCCUUAGAUGUCCUGGGCCGCACGCGUGCUACACUGACGCCUACAGCGAGUACUUCCCAGCCCCGAGAGGUGGCUGGUAAUCGGCAAUAGGCGUCGUGAUGGGGAUAGAUCUUUGGAAUUAUGGAUCUUGAACGAGGAAUGCCUAGUAAGCGCAGGUCAUUAGCCUGCGCUGAUUAAGUCCCUGCCCUUUGUACACACCGCCCGUCGCUCCUACCGAUUUCGAGUGGUCCGGUGAAUCUUUCGGACUGCGCGCGGCCUCGUGCCGUGUCGCGGAAAGUCAGGUAAACCUUAUCACUUAGAGGAAGGAGAAGUCGUAACA
This 319-nucleotide ribosomal RNA is filed under the name uncultured eukaryote. Its description in RNAcentral is "partial 18S ribosomal RNA". It matches the Rfam family "Eukaryotic small subunit ribosomal RNA", at positions 1470 to 1796 of the family's 1831-position model. The record is from RNAcentral.